CUACGGGUUGCUCCAGUGGGGAAUAUUGGACAAUGGGGGAAACCCUGAUCCAGCAAUGCCGCGUGUGUGAAGAAGGCCUGCGGGUUGUAAAGCACUUUCGGUUGGGAGGACUGCUUCUAGCACUAAUAUUGUUGGAAGUUGACGUUACCUUCAGAAGAAGCACCGGCUAACUCCGUGCCAGCAGCCGCGGUAAUACGGGGGGUGCAAGCGUUAAUCGGAAUUACUGGGCGUAAAGCGCGCAUAGGCGGCUAGAUCAGUCGGGUGUGAAAGCCCCGGGCUUAACCUGGGAACUGCAUCCGAUACUGUCUAGCUUGAGUACAGGAGAGGAGAGUGGAAUUCCACAUGUAGCGGUGAAAUGCGUAGAUAUGUGGAGGAACACCAAUGGCGAAGGCAGCUCUCUGGCCUGAUACUGACGCUGAGGUGCGAAAGCGUGGGGAGCAAACAGGAUUAGAUACCCGCGUAGUC
This 465-nucleotide ribosomal RNA is filed under the name uncultured bacterium. RNAcentral describes it as "partial 16S ribosomal RNA". It matches the Rfam family "Bacterial small subunit ribosomal RNA", at positions 339 to 795 of the family's 1533-position model. The record is from RNAcentral.